Oryza brachyantha (malo sina) is the source of this 2376-nucleotide long non-coding RNA. RefSeq lists it as uncharacterized. Lineage: Eukaryota; Viridiplantae; Streptophyta; Magnoliopsida; Poales; Poaceae. The transcript has 4 exons. The record is from RefSeq and is a predicted model, not a curated record.
AUCUAACAAUCGCCUCAGCUCCACAGCAGACCACCAUCAGCUGGCACCUUUGAUCCAAUGCCUGCUCCAUGAUUCCCUGCAUAUUAGGUGUUUUAUUAGAGACAAGAGGCAACACAUAUCUUAUGAAGGCAUGGGACGAGCUGCAUUGCAGCAUCGUAUGAUCGACAAAUGAUGCAGUAAUCACUCUUGGGAUAUGGAGCCUAGGGUGGAAAGAACCAUGUCAAGAACAAUUCUCAUCCUAAGGGAAACAACAAAAACCUCACAAGAUAACACUUACCAGGAACCUAUCCCAUUGUGAUUGGAAGAAAGAGAAUCUCAUAUCAGUCUCACAGUUGCUCGGAGUUACCUCUGGCCUUUCAACUGGACAGUCAACAAAGCAUGAUGUUGGUCUGGAACCAAUCAAUCCAAUCCUCCUUGCAAGUCCAGACUCAAAUAAAUCAGUCUUCCUCAUAGGCUCAGAAACAAUUUUCUGAGUGAGAGAUGCAGGCUCAAUCAGAAUUGGUUUUCUGGUAGGCACAGGCUGAAGUAAAUCAAGUUUUGCUGUAGGUUCAGGCACAAUCAAAUCAGAUUUUUUUGCAGUUGCAGGCUCAAUCAGAUCAGGUUUUCUUGUAGGUACAGGUUCAAUCAAAUCAGACUUUCCUGUAGGUAUGGACUCAAUGGAAUCAGGUUUUGUGGUGCUGAUGACCGUAACUUCACUCAGCAAGCUACCGUUGUCAGUGGAAGCACUAUCUUGCUGGCUUUCAGCAUUACUCCUGCUGCACUCAUCGCCCUGCUGGCUCUGCAGAUUGUUCUCACUGCAAGUAUCACCCUGCUGACUGUCUGUGUUACGAGGAGAGUCCUCGGUGAUAUUAGUGGUAAGUGGAGACCUUGGGGACUGAUGAUCUGACACUGAUUCUGGGAGCUCAUCAUGAUCAAGGGAGAAUGGCUCUAGCAAGGGUACAUACUUUGGUCGCGUGACCGGUGGAAGGAGGACCAUGUGUGUUGCAGGACCACUUCCUACAGGGACUACACACAUUCUGCAGAUACCAGGGAGGGAGCGCAUGAAGUCACUUAGCUUAGGAUAACCAAGCGUGCCAUGAUCAAGCUCCAUUCUGCAAAUCGCUCUGAAAUCACCCUUCAGAGAGCUCAAUGGGUACCUAUCUCCAAGCCGUUCGGUAGCAUCGAGAAGAAAUCCUGGCAACCACUUCCUGAAUAUAAAGAACCAAGAUGGAAGACACUUCUCUGGCAAUGGCCGCCGGUUCCUAGUGUUAUGUUCCUCAUUUAACUCACCAUCCAACAGACUGUGAGUUACCUUGGGAACCUCCUGGUUGUGGUGCCUGAAUGAAGUUUUCUGGAGUUCUGCAGGCAAGGAUCCUCUAGCAACAGCAUCCUUCACCUCCACUCUCUUCCCAAGCAUGUACACAUGAUGAGUUUCCUUUGCACUUAUCACAUCCUCUUCUCUUUUGAACUUUACAAAACCAAAGCCUCGGGAUUGCACCCGAUCGCCCAUCCUUAUCCCAAUGACUACUGCUUCCUCCACAGGUCCAAAUUCAGCAGUGAAGAACUCAGUAAGGUACUCUGCCAGGAAGAAGAAAAAAGAGGUAAGAAUGAAACGCAUAUCUUGGGAUGUUGCCACAUCUAUUGGUCUUUGCUUUCUGUUCGAUGUCAAAUAAUCACAGGAUGCCCCAGAACGCAGGAGGAGUUUUACACAAUCCACAGAACCAUUCUUUACUGCCAAGAACAAUGGAGUCUCUUUGGUCUUGGAAGGUAUAUCAACACAAUCUUGUGCAUGAAGCAGAAGGGACUUGCAGAGCAAAUAAUACACUAACAAUUAGUCAUAAGUGACAAGAAUGUCAUUAUGUGAGUUGAUGAAAGUGACAAAAGGCUACCUGAAGGGCCUUAUAAUUUCCCUUAGCCGCAGCACUGUGUACUGGUGUAAGACCUAGUUUGUUUCCCUGGAAAACUCUGGCACCAUUCUUCAGCAGGAGCCACACAAUCCUGCACAAAUACAAAAUAUAACAAAGUGAAGACAAUGCAAAGAGCAAUAAGAACAGUUGAUCGAACAGAAUUCUGAGAGUAUACCUUGGCUCCUGUGUGCUUGAGCUACCACUAAGGCACCAGUGAAGGGCCGUGUUUCCUUCAGGAUCGGCUUCAUUGACAUCAACAUCCCCCAUCAGAAGCAUCUUUGUGACAUUCACAUCUCCAACCUACAGGAGGAAAGUCAAUCAGAAUUCAGAAGAAGUCUUCCUAUGAAUACAGUUUUACACUAUAAACCUUACCUUGUUAUACAUAGCGCAUUUUAAGCAUUCUUGCAUGAACCAUAAUUGGAUAAAAGGUUUUUAAAUAGGGUAGAACAUGAAGCACAGUCAAAUAUUCAUCUUAUAUGUAACCGUAGCU